GCAUGAUGAUAUUAAAUCAUAUGAAAUUUUUUUAAAAAAAUAUUUUAUUAUGAAAUAGUAUUAAAUGAUGAAUUGGCGCAUCUUGCCCUGAACCAUAUAAAACUGACACUUCCAACUUUUAAGCUAUACAACAUUUGGCAUUUGGGUCCUUUUGUUUUUUCCAAUGGUGAGAAAAAUCAUAUUUCUUCCUUAAUAUUUCUCUUCGUUUUCAUACAUGACAUAUACGUGACGUGAUCAAUAUUGAAACGUAAUUGACACAAAUAAAUUUAAAUACAAAGAUAUAUCAUUUCACAAACCAAAAUGCUAAAAAAAAUUAAAUUUAUGAAUUAAAGUGCAAACAUAAAUUGAGAUAUAUAAUUCAAACAGAAAAUUUACCUUAUAAUUAUACAAACUUAGACACAAAUUAACACAAUAAAAUCAUGAUCACAAGUUAUCUAAAAUUUCAUUUCUCUUGUUUUGGUAAAUAAAAAUUCAUUUCUCUAGCACCAUCGAAGAUAGGAACGUUUGAAAACCAUGGUUUUAUUCUGUUUCUUUAUUUCAGUGAGAUUAUUGCCUAAUUUUAUAAUUUGAAAAAGUUAAUAUCAUAUACUCCCGUAAAUUCAAAACAAUAUCUAGUCAAUAUUCUACUACCGUUAGCAUGUUGUCUCUACUUUUUAUUAACCACAAAAAAAGUAAAAAAAUAAAAAAUGUCUACCUUAGAAAGUGUAGAUUGAGACACGACUAUGACAUGCAGUACAUUGGACAGUGGCCAGAGCUGGUUUAGCCGCUCCUCCAUUUUCUUCUAUUCAACUUGUGCUCACCAUGGCUAUGGAGAUCACGGAAGAAAUUUCAAUGGAGCAAAAAGCGUAUGCUCUCGUAUCUAAUACAGCAGUGGGACCCACUGUGGGAGCACUAGAAUUUUUUUCUCCCACACCACAACCUCUGCAACCCUUUCCUCCCACCUCUCUCUCUCUCUCUCUCUCUCUCUCCCCUACCCAGCACCACCACCACCACCACCAUGAAAAUUAACCUUGUCUUUGCUUCCUUCUCUAUCCUUAUCGUCCUCUUCGCGCCAGACCAUAAUUUUGAAAACAGAGCCGAACCCUAACCCUCCGACAUUGACACUUCCUUGUUCGAGAGGAUAUGUCAGUUUUGAGCCUCCAGAAAUCCCCCAAGGCUUUUUCGUUUUCUCCACCCUCAACCUGUCCUUCGGCGUUAGGGUUCUGAUGGAUUCCAUAUGGGUGAAGAAAGAAAACAGGUGGAUUUUGGUUCUAAAAGUUCAAAGAAUGAGAUCAAACAACUCUUCCUUCCAAAGCAGCUUGGAAACAGCAAUUGUCAUAUAACCACACGUAACCUCUUAUUUUAUUGUUAUUUGGACAGAUCUGGAUGCCUCCCCACCGUAUGAGGGGUUGAGUUAUUAUUAUUAUUAUUAUUUUGGACAAAUCUGGGUUUGAGUUUGAUUUUUAGUUUUUGAUAUUUGUUUACAGUUUUUAAGGUUUCCGGGUUUGUGUUUAUGGGGUUUCUGGGUAGACUUUGAUAUUUAGGUCUUUCAUUUUUGUUUACGGUAUUUAAGGUUUCUGGGUUCAUGGGGUUUCUGGGUUUAAGUUUGAUUUUUAGGUUUUUUAUAUUCCUUUAUGGUUUUUAAGGUUUCUGGGUUUGGGUUUAUGGGGUUUCUGGUUUUGAGUCGGAAUUUAUUUAGCGUUUCGUCAAAUUACUGCUUUGGUUAUAUAACACACAAAAUUUUCCAGUUACUAGUUGAUUUAGGUUUCUCGUACAUUUAAUUUGUUAGGGUUUAUGAUUUUUAGAUUAAUGUUAAUGGUACUAGAGAUGGAAUAAUUUCAAGGGAUAUCAGAAGCCAGAGCCAUACCAGCUUCAUUUGCUAAUUUUUCCACUUUCCAAACUUUUUUAAUCAGGGUCUUGAUCUUGCUCUCUGGUAAAGCUAAUUCAAGCCACACUUUAUUCAUUGCUUUACAUAUUCAUACUGUUUAUAGAAACAGAAACAACAUUUUUUUUCUGUUACUAAAUUGAUGUUUUUUAGGUUCAAAGGUUUAGAUGGACACCGGAAGCCGUGGUACGUUUGACCUCGGCUACUGCAUCCAUCUACUCAAGCUAAGAGGUCUUUUCCAAUGCGAUACAAACUCUUUUACCGUCAUUUCUUGAACAACUGCUUCAAGGUUCAGUCCAUGAUUUCUUUUGCUAAGUUUGCCAAAUCUGUGAAGAAAAUGGGUCGGAUUAAAAAUGUUAAAACAGGGUCUGAGGGUAAAAUUAGGAAGGUCUGUGUUUUGGUGAAUGUGUAGAGUCUUAGCAAUAAUAUUCUUCUAUCCCAGCAAUAAUAUUAGAGAUCUUAAAAUUUUUAUUAAAUGAUGUGAUUUUGGAUGUGAUAAUAAUUAUUUAUUUAUUUUAAAAUUUUAUUUUUUUAUAUUUAAGUUAUAUAAAUAUGUGAAUUAAUAAUAUUUUUUAGUAUAUAUCAUUUGAUGACAAAUAAAUCCGAGGAAUAUUAUGGUAUUUGCACUGCAUUGAGAAUCCUAGUUAGUGUCUUUUUUAUCUAUUGUGAUUGAUUUAUAUUCAUUAAAUUUUAUUAUGUCUCACGAAGAAUAAUAAAAUUAUUGAGCUGUAUUGUAUUGUUUUAUUCUCAGCUUCUAUUUGUUGAUAGAAAUAUGCAAGGAAAAUUUCUUAUGAGAUAACGUAAUAUAUUAGAGUUUCUUAAACAUUUAUUUAUUGUGUCUCUUUCAUCUAAUUUUGAGCUCUAAUUAAUGCUUUUCUGUAAAAUAUUUUAUAAUUGAGGAAUUUCCUUUUCUCCAUUAGAAACCAUUUUCUUUUUAUAUUUUUUUUCCUAGACUUUUUUACUUUUUUUUUUUAUAUUUUUCUCCAAACAUAUUAGUAAUGGUCAGUUGGUAAUGAUCGGUUGGAGGUUUUCUGAUUCUCACAAAGGGUUUAAAAGAUGUGAAGGAUGCUUUGUUUUUUCUAGCAGUUGGAUGCAACGGUCAUUUCCAACAUUCAAAAUUCUCUUUGUUAUUAUUAUUUUCUAAUGUUAAGGUAGUUUUAAAAUUUUAAGGGGUAAGAUCGAUACUAUCAAUUUAAAGAAUUUUUAGUAUCAAAAAACUUUGUGUAACUAAUCAUACCAUGUAUUCACCCACAAAAAAAAAAAUUAAAUAAAUAAAUAAAUAAAAAAUCAUACCAUGUUGGAAAGAGUGUUUUUAUUCGGAUUUUUUGUUUUUCAUCAACAAAGUAUUGAAUCUGUGAUCACCAAUGAUUAUUGUUUACUGUGCGAGAAGUAUAAUAUUUUACUGAACGACUUAUGGAUUUUGAUGAAGGAAUAUUUGGAUGGAAGUUAAGUGUUGUGACAAUUUUUAAUAUUUUCAAAACCUAAAAGGACUUAUUCCUAAUAAUGCCAAAUGUCGGAUGGCUUUGAUGUUCUAAAAGAAAAAGAAAAAAAAAAUGAAAAAGGGACAAACAUGUCUGCUCUCAAAAACAAUAGGCAAACGAGUUCGGCAAUAAACUUGCAAAAUCUACGAAAAGAAAUAUACCAAAUGGACAACGACUUUGUGAUGGAAGAACCAUAAGAAGGCAACUUGGAAGUCAUUUCUGGAACUCAAUUUUUUACUGGUAAUUUGUGAAAAACUCAUCUAUAUUAGAAAGCACAUCCAUAUAUGUAUUUAUUCAGAUUAUGAUAUGUAGUUAUAAACUUUAUGUAGAAACCCAUUAAGAUGACAAGUGCUGAAGGACAAUACGUGCCCUACUUUGAAUCAAUUAACAAUGACAUACUAACAUGUUAAGGCGUUUCCCUUCACACACCACAAUGUUUGGAUUGUAUAUAAUAGUAGAGAACGAUCUCCUAGCGACAUUUCUAAAUUUAUGGAUACAUCUGACAGAAAAAAAAACAAA
Long non-coding RNA from Ziziphus jujuba (common jujube), 3864 nucleotides. RefSeq lists it as uncharacterized. The record is from RefSeq and is a predicted model, not a curated record. NCBI's taxonomy places the organism in Eukaryota, Viridiplantae, Streptophyta, Magnoliopsida, Rosales, Rhamnaceae. The transcript has 2 exons.